AACUCAAACUCCUCUCUCUGGGAAAACGCGGUGCUUGCUCCUCCUGGAGUGGCCCUGGCAGGGUGUUGGAGCCCUUGGUCUGCCCGGUCUGGUCUCUGGGGCCAAGGCUGGGUUUCCCUCAUGUAUGGCAAGAGCUCUACUCGUGCGGUGCUUCUUCUUGGCAUACAGCUCACAGCUAUUUGGCCUACAGCAGCUGUGGAAAUUUAUACCUCCCGGGUGCUGGAGGCUGUUAAUGGGACAGAUGCUCGGUUAAAAUGCACUUUCUCCAGCUUUGCCCCUGUGGGUGAUGCUCUAACAGUGACCUGGAAUUUUCGUCCUCUAGAUGGGGGACCUGAGCAGUUUGUAAGUAGAUUAUCGUCAUUUUCCAGGGUACUCUUGUUUAGGGAAAUAAUAAGCCAGUCCAUUUCUCCUUUCCCUUCCAGUAUUUUUCUUAGCAGCAAGCACAAGGUUAAGCUCGGAAACAAUUCUUGGGACAGAGACUGAGAGGCCAUUGAAGGGGAAAGCAAGUGACCGAGCCACAGACAGGACAGUUGGGUUUGCUGGCGUUUCACUU
Molecule: small RNA, 553 nt
Filed under: Pongo abelii (Sumatran orangutan)
Lineage: Eukaryota; Metazoa; Chordata; Mammalia; Primates; Hominidae
Description: processed transcript
Source: RNAcentral